AUUACUUCUCAGUCUUUUGGCUAAGAUCAAGUGUAAUAUCUGUUCUUAUCAGCUUAAUAUCUGAUAGGCCGUCUAUCGAGCAACAAUAUAUUAAAUGGAUUUUUGGCACUAGAAAAUUAAAUAAGAGCUUGCUCCAUCCAUCCUAUGCAUCAACCUGGUAUUGCAGUACCUCCAGAAAUGGUGCACAACAU
Molecule: small nuclear RNA, 191 nt
Organism: Suncus etruscus (white-toothed pygmy shrew)
Lineage: Eukaryota; Metazoa; Chordata; Mammalia; Eulipotyphla; Soricidae
Product: U2 spliceosomal RNA
Exons: 1
Source: RefSeq, a predicted model, not a curated record